CAAUAGCGUAUAUUAAAGUUGUUGCAGUUAAAAGCUCGUAGUUGGAUUUCUGAUGUCUUUUUUCUUCCUUUCUUGUUCACAAAUUGUGGAUGUUAGGUUUGAUUGGACAUCUUCCUUCCCUGUUAAUUUGGUUUUGAAAUAUUAAUUUGUUUCUGGAUCAAAUGGGGAUCAUUUACUGUGAAAAAUUAGAGUGUUCAAAGCAAGUAUUUAAUUUCUUGAAUACAUUAGCAUGGAAUAAUAAGAUAGGACUUUGGUUAUAUUUUGUUGGUUUGCAAACUAAGGUAAUGAUUAAUAGGAACAUAUUGGGGAUAUCUGUAUUUUUUAGUCAGAGGUGAAAUUCUUGGAUUUAAGAAAGACAAACUACAGCGAAAGCAUUUAUCAAGGAUGUUUUCAUUGAUCAAGAACGAAAGUUGGGGGAUCGAAGAUGAUCAGAUACCA
This 438-nucleotide ribosomal RNA is filed under the name uncultured eukaryote. RNAcentral's name for it is "bacterial SSU rRNA". It matches the Rfam family "Eukaryotic small subunit ribosomal RNA", at positions 592 to 1017 of the family's 1831-position model. The record is from RNAcentral.